UCUAAUCUAAUUCCCUUUACUUUUUGGGUAGGUGGUAUAAUUACGUGUGUCAGGUGAGCCAGUUGUAUUUUCACCAUGUAUAUCAAAACACUAUUGGCUACUCUCUUUUUGGUUCAUGCUGUUAUGGGAGCACUGAGAUGCUACGAUUGCGACAGCACAAAGGGCCACGCUAACUGCCAAAGUGGAUCGGGAGUUACAGACGAAGAUAUGUGUCCAUAUCCACCUAAAGGUGGAUCGCGCAUAUGCCUUGAAUAUUCGGAAAAUGUGAACGGGUCAAUGAAAUAUGUGAGACAAUGCGACGUUGCGCAGGGCAAAUCACCUUGUCCUUCUAUGAAACAGACACGAAAAAUUAUCCAGUGUCGAGACUGUACAACUCAUUAUUGUAACAAAAAUCCUCUUUAAGGGUCAGUUUAUUUCCAAACGAAACUGUGUGCCUAUUUGAGGCAAUUGUAACAUUUGAGAAGCUUAAAUAAAAUUGUUUGGUGCAA
Photinus pyralis (common eastern firefly) is the source of this 488-nucleotide long non-coding RNA. RefSeq lists it as uncharacterized. The transcript is spliced from 3 exons. Lineage: Eukaryota; Metazoa; Arthropoda; Insecta; Coleoptera; Lampyridae. The record is from RefSeq and is a predicted model, not a curated record.